GUUGGUUUCAAGACCAUACAAUUACAUCAAAACUUAGCAAUUUGUGGACUUUAACAAUAGACAGUUUAAUGGACAUCAAGUAUAGCUCAACAGAGAAUUUCUUUUAAAGGAAGCCAUGCAUGGAAGAAAAACAGGAGUGACUGUCCAUAAAGAAACCUUAUGCUGCCCACGUCUUUCAGCUGGGACGAUCACCGCCAGCCCACUGAGACCGCAAGGCUCAGACCUUCCUCUGUUCUGUCCUCCUCAGCGCCCCCACUGUCAUCUCCACCAGCGGCCAGACUUCGCUCCCUGUCAGUAUACCAGAGGUGGCACUGAGACCUGCAGGAUGGACACGGGAGAGAUGUUGCCUGUCUUCUCAGAGGGACGGUCAAAUCGAGAGGUCAGAUAUCGACCAAAGCAUCAUCACUUCCUAACAGUGAUCAGGCAAGACAACACAAGUGAGGUCCACAAAUACCCAAGGGAUUAAUUUUAAAAUGUAGUGAGAUCAUAGUGGCCUGGGUACAUUACAGUGGAAUGUGGGAAAUGCCACCAAAGUCCCAGAGCUGUGGCACAGACCCCCCUCUCCAAGUGUCCAGUUAUUACCCAUAGUAGGGGCUGAGUAAGACUCACUGUGUGGGGCUGGGGAUUUAGCUCGGCGGCACAGCGCCUGCCUGGCAAGCGCAAGGUCGUGAGUUCAGUUCCCGGUACCGGAAAAAAACCCGAAAGAAAAAAAGACUCACUGUGCUUGUUAUUCACCAUAGGUCUACUUGAUUUAAGUAAGAAUCACCCAGUAGAUUAAUAAAACUCUGAGUGUGUCUGUGGUCAACUGACAUAUAAGCUGCAGACUAAGGAAAGAAGACCUACCUGGGCUGUGGGUGGCACCAAUCAACAGGCUUGCAGCUUGCAUGGAAUUAAAAGAGAACAGGAGAGAGUGUGCCCUUUUUCUUGGGAUAAGCGCCAGUCUUCACCAUUUCCUUUGAAUACUCACCUCUAGUUCCUUCAGGCUUCCAGUGCAGCCUUCAGCUUUCCUACGCAGAUCUUUUGGCUUUCUGACACAGACUCACACCAGACCCUGCAGUGACCUCCAGGCUUUCAAACUCUGAAUGGAUUCUGCAGCCCUCCCGCCAGCCCUCCAGCAUGCAGACGGCCAUUCUGCACUCUUCCACCUCCAAGCUGGCAGACGCCCACUGGAACGCUAUUGCUUCUGAUCCUAUAAGCCUACUUAAUAAAUCCUUUGUUUACAUAUAUUUUAUAUGAAAAUAUGUGUACAUGUUAAAAUAUUUGUGCACAUGUAUUUUACGGUAAAUCUGUUUCUCUAAUGGCCGUAACUAAUACACCAUUAGUGGGACUGAUUUUUCAGCAGCUAUGCCACCUGUGGCUGGAUGUCCCCAUAGGACCUGCUACUGGAUAAUUGUGCUGCCAUAUUCUGAAAGGAGAUGGAUCACCAUGACAUAUUUACAACAAAAGCAUAAGCAUGGGGAUGAUGUAGAAAGUUGUAUAGGGGAACUCACAGGUUUUGUUGUUGUACUGGGAAUUAAACCUGGAGCCUCAUGCCUGCUAGACAAGUGCUCUGCCACAGAACUACAUCCUCAGCCCUUUUAUUUUCAUUUUUACUUUGAGAUGGUCUAAGUUUCCCUGUCUGGAAUCCAAUUUGUGAUUCUCCUUGCUUAGUCCACCAAGUAUCUGGGAUUAGAGGUGUGUGCCACCCUCCCUGACCUUCAGGAUUUUAUUUAUUUAUUUAUUGUUUUUUUUCUGGUACCAGGAAUCGAACUCACGACCUCACGCUUGCCAGGCAGGCGCUGUGCCACUGAGC
This is a long non-coding RNA of Chinchilla lanigera (long-tailed chinchilla), 1792 nucleotides long. The record is from Ensembl. NCBI's taxonomy places the organism in Eukaryota, Metazoa, Chordata, Mammalia, Rodentia, Chinchillidae.